Canis lupus familiaris (dog) is the source of this 910-nucleotide long non-coding RNA. RefSeq lists it as uncharacterized. Lineage: Eukaryota; Metazoa; Chordata; Mammalia; Carnivora; Canidae. The record is from RefSeq and is a predicted model, not a curated record. The transcript has 3 exons.
UUCUCAAGUUGGCUCCUGCACACUUCUCUAGACAGAGAAGUUAAGUUACCCCCUCAAAGUCACAGGGCAAGUACAUGGUAGAGCAGAAUUUGGAAGAGGGCAGACUGGCUCUCAAAUCAUUACCCUUAACCACCACAAAGCAUAGCCAGAAUCAACCAGAAGGGCCCCCUCUGAUUAGCAGGUUGCUUGGAAUUUUUAUCUUAAUUAAUUAGGUAAUUUCACAGAUAGUCACAAUGGUAUUUGUUGGCAAAGAUGAAAUAACAUGUCUUGAUCAUUUUUGCCUUCCCUAUACCUAAGAAAGUACCUGCAUGCUUUGGGUAUUCCCAGCUGUUAGUGAAAUUUUCCUGACUAGAAUAGAAGGAACAUGGGUUAAUCUUCUGUGAAUUCCUCAGAACUGGGAGUCAGUAUCCUGGAGAUGAGGUGAAAAGUGGAGGCAGGAGAUGCAGGGCAUCCUUUGCAGAUCAGUGUGCACAGCUGUCUGGUAUAACACCAAAAUGCAGGAUGUCUCACUGUUUUGCAACAAGAUCAAGGUUUGGUGUGCAGUUUCAUUGCCUUCAAAAUGAAAACUGGAAGACUCUGCCAUGAGACAUCAAUUUGAGUGACCUGAGAGAUGGAGAAGGACAGUUGAGGAAAAGGAGGGGAAAGUCAUUUUCCGCAGCAGAGGACUACCAUCUGUUUGACAAAGCUCAAGUUUGAUCUCCACAUGUCUACCCUGGGCCAACACACACAGAUCAAUCCCACCUCUGUGACAUGAGGAAGAAACAGAACCUUGCAACUUAGCAAAGAAAAGGUCUGAAUGAUGUGGCCAUUGCAGGGUGAACUCUGUCAGACUGAACUACGAACUUGUGAAUAAAAUCCAAUCACUGUAAAUUAGUGGGAGCUGUGUGCAUCUAUCAUUUCUACCACCUGC